RNAcentral lists this ribosomal RNA (633 nucleotides) under Clavariadelphus pakistanicus. RNAcentral's name for it is "eukaryotic LSU rRNA". The stretch from base 218 to 372 matches the Rfam family "5.8S ribosomal RNA". The record is from RNAcentral. Lineage: Eukaryota; Fungi; Basidiomycota; Agaricomycetes; Gomphales; Clavariadelphaceae.
CUUCCGUAGGUGAACCUGCGGAAGGAUCAUUACAGUAUUGUUUCGGGGGGACUGCUGCUGGCUCCUAGGAGCAUGUGCGCGUCUUCCUUUCUAACAUUCACACCUGUGCACCUAUGGAUGAGGUCCUAUGAUAAUAGGACCUUGUCCAUUAUCAUACAUAUAAAGCCUGUCUCUAAUGCAUGUGUAUUGACGUUCUAAGGAGCGGAUAUAUAAAUACAACUUUCAACAACGGAUCUCUUGGCUUUCGCAUCGAUGAAGAACGCCGCGAAAGUGCGAAACGUAAUGUGAAUUGCAGAAUUCAGUGAAUCAUCGAAUCUUUGAACGCAUCUUGCGCUCCUUGGUAUUCCGAGGAGCAUGCCUGUUUGAGUGUCGCGACCCUCCUCAAUCCCUUCUCCCUCUUCUGGGGGGGUUUUGGGCUUGGACUUUGGACGUCUGCUGUGGGGAACUAGUCCUCUCCUAUAGGCUCGUCUUGAAAUGUAUUAGCUGUGAAACUUGUCAUUAGAACGGUGUGAUAAGAAUACAUUUUUCUGUAGCGUCGUCUCUAAUCAAGGGCACUGCUUCUAAUCGUCCUUUGGACAAUUCAUGUCAUCUGACCUCAAAUCAGGUAGGACUACCCGCUGAACUUAAGCAUAU